AAUGUGUAAUGCUUCUAGGUCAUUAUUGACGAUUGAACGUAACCGAAAUAAAUCGUUGCGGUUCAGUUCAGUCCAUCGGUUCCAAUUUUAGUCAGCAAACUGCUUACAGAAGCCCCAAGCAAAACCCAAACAAAACAGAUUCAUCCCAAGUAAAAUAUUCAACAAUUAACCAAUAAUCAUCCAAAAAUCAAUGGUAGUCAACCAAAACUCAUUCAAACAAAAACUAAUUGUUCAAUCAAAAUCUUCUACAAUUAACCAAAAAAUUUCAACACUCAAAAUUUCAAAUUUAUCCCAAGUAAAAAAUCAACAGUAGGCAAAGAAGUGAGGCUUUGAGAUGAACCCAAGAGGCAUCAUCUCAUCCCAGGACUUUGGCUCUCCGACUGCGUUUGCGUGACUUCUAAGGGAGUCCAUAGAGACAAUGGCUUGGCUUUCAGCGAGGAAGAGGGAACUUUGGUCUCUGAGGGUCGACUUGAUUUGUUGAUUUGUGAAGGGACUAAAGCUCAGAAGAACUCUCACUGCCUGAACUCUGAAGACAAUGGCUUGGCUUCCUACGAGGAAGAGAGAAAGCUGAUUUGUUGAUUCAUAAGGGUCGACUCGCUUGGUUCGUUUUUAGGAAGAUUUCGGCAAGCAAUUGCUACAGCCAUCACCGUCUGAACUCUGAAGAACCAAUAAAACGCUAUUGUGCUGGGUGGGUAUGAGAGGAAAGAAGACUGGGACAGGAAAGGGAUAUUAGGUUGUUCAGUUCUUUAUACACACACAAACCCUGUAAAAACGGUGUAGCUUAAUGGUUCGGUAGGUUUGGUUUUUCCUUUAAUUUUAGUUAAUUAACUGAACCAAAAACUGAAAUUCCCUUAAACUAAUAACCGAACCAAACCUAACCGAAAUAACUGAAUUGGCUAACUUCAGUUUUUCAGUUAUAACCCUAAAUUACUCAACCCUAGUCCUUUUGUGACAUUCAAAUGCCAAAAAUGAAUAAAAUCAAUAUUCUUUUCCUUUUCUCUCCACUUUCUUUCAAUAAAAUGAAGCCUGAAGUUUUCAAAAAAUUGCCAACCUAAGAAAUUUGAACUUUCUGCAAUUCGUUAAUUCCAAUAAUUUGCCGAGUCCCUAGACAAUGCUAGAGAAAUGGCAUUCACAGUUCAUUUUCAGAUAACAUAACUUGAAAUAAAAUUUUAGUUGACCCUGACUGUUUUCUCGAGUCCUGUAGUCAGUCAAGAGUCAAUAAGCUCACAAAUAGCAUAAAAACAUGUAAUGCUUCUGAAAAAUAGAGCCUGCAAUUAUGCAACCAAAAGUAAACUGGCACCUAGUCACAAAUAUUAGAGAAUAUACGUGGAAAUUACACAUAAAAGCACCUUUUGAAACAUGGUGAAUUAAAUUCAAAUGGUAUAACACUAAAACUAGGACUUAAAAAUACAAAUUUAAAAACUCCAGCAGCAAGACCACAUCGAUAAUGAGAACAAACACAUAGAUGGACAUAAUAAGAUACAGGUUGAUUUGGUGAUAAGAAAUUAACCGAUAUUUAGACAGAUAUUUGAUACUUCAAUAUAGAUUCUAAGUAAAUGUAAGAAGCAGCAUUAAUGUAAAUUACCCUUGAUUGUGGGUCAGCCCCCAAAUCCAACACAAAUGACAUAGGCAAAAUGAUAACAUUCUGGAAUAAUUCUAAUGUCCAAAAUGAAUUAGAGUAAAUAAAUAAAACCCUCAAGAAUCAUGUCCUAUUAUCAUAGAACACCAGAACAAUGAAAUGCUGUCAAACCUAAUUAAAGAACAUUUGGGAUAAGACUUCAA
RNAcentral lists this unclassified non-coding RNA (1782 nucleotides) under Hevea brasiliensis (rubber tree). Lineage: Eukaryota; Viridiplantae; Streptophyta; Magnoliopsida; Malpighiales; Euphorbiaceae. The record is from RNAcentral.